CGGUGGAGCAUGUGGUUUAAUUCGAAGCAACGCGAAGAACCUUACCAGGCCUUGACAUGCAGAGAACUUUCCAGAGAUGGAUUGGUGCCUUCGGGAACUCUGACACAGGUGCUGCAUGGCUGUCGUCAGCUCGUGUCGUGAGAUGUUGGGUUAAGUCCCGUAACGAGCGCAACCCUUGUCCUUAGUUACCAGCACGUUAUGGUGGGCACUCUAAGGAGACUGCCGGUGACAAACCGGAGGAAGGUGGGGAUGACGUCAAGUCCUCAUGGCCUUUAUGACCAGGGCUACACACGUACUACAAUGGCCGAUACAAAGGGCAGCGACACUGCGAGGUGAAGCCAAUCCCGUAAAAUCGGUCUCAGUCCGGAUUGGAGUCUGCAACUCGACUCCAUGAAGUUGGAAUCGCUAGUAAUCGUGGAUCAGCAUGCCACGGUGAAUACGUUCCCGGGCCUU
This 453-nucleotide ribosomal RNA is filed under the name uncultured Bacillus sp. RNAcentral describes it as "bacterial SSU rRNA". It matches the Rfam family "Bacterial small subunit ribosomal RNA", at positions 930 to 1382 of the family's 1533-position model. The record is from RNAcentral. Lineage: Bacteria; Bacillati; Bacillota; Bacilli; Caryophanales; Bacillaceae.